CAAUGAGCUUUUUUUUCCUGUUAAGAUAUCUUUAGAAAGCAGUAGUUAAAAAUAGCUAUAAAUAUUUGCAUUUUGAAAAUAUUUUCUCAUACAGACACUUUCUUGCACUUGAAUUGUGUUGACUGAAUGGAACUUUUUUUUCCUCCCCUCAGCAGAAAAUCAACUUCUCUCUUGGCUGACCUUUCCUCACCUGCUUCCCGUUUUAUCCUCUCAUGGAUGCAACUUUCCCUGCAGGAAAAAGACCGUGGUGAUUGCAGUAGGUUAAGCUUCAAGUUAGCAAGGUUUCCUGGUGAGACUGGAGAUUCCUGGGUACUGUUCCUUUUGAUGUCCUUGGGGUGAGCAAAAGAAAGAAGUGAGGAAAUAAAAAGUCAGCCUGGAGAUGAAUAUGAGGCGUG
RNAcentral lists this long non-coding RNA (395 nucleotides) under Phasianus colchicus (ring-necked pheasant). RNAcentral describes it as "lncRNA (ENSPCLG00000022019.1)". The record is from RNAcentral. Lineage: Eukaryota; Metazoa; Chordata; Aves; Galliformes; Phasianidae.